UCGGAAAAAAAUGGACGGGAAUAAACUCCGUGUACAGUCUUCGGUCAGAAAAAUAACUAUUAUAAGGCGAGCACAGCAAUUUGGAUUAAAAGGCUUAGAUACUUCUUGGACCCUUGGGAAUUUAUUAAAAAAUAUUGAAAACUAUGACGCAAAGUGAAUCAGAUGAAUCAGGGUGCCCCGAGGGACGUGUCUUUGUCCCCACCUCCUGCCGUUGUGGGUUAAUCCAGUCGGUCCAUGAGGGACCGGGCACGGGCCACCCAGUGGAGAAGAGAACAAUCCAACUCAUUCAGGCGCAUUACUGGUGGCCAAGGAUGGCAGAGGAGGUUACCCGCUACGUCCAGGAGUGAGCCACCUGCGCCAUGGCCAAAGUACCACGCCACCUGCCCGUCAGCAAGUUGGUGCUGCUCCCCGUCCCUCAGUGCCCCUGGACACAUACCUAGGGAUCGACUUUGUGACCGACCUGCCAGGGUUAGGCCACCGCACUUCCACCGCGUACCACAGGAUUACUCAGAGUUGCUGCGAGUUACGUGCUUUUACUGAAUAAACUCUGUUUGCUUUCA
Molecule: long non-coding RNA, 560 nt
Organism: Tachysurus fulvidraco (yellow catfish)
Lineage: Eukaryota; Metazoa; Chordata; Actinopteri; Siluriformes; Bagridae
Exons: 2
Source: RefSeq, a predicted model, not a curated record